UACGGGGGGGGCAAGCGUUGUUCGGAAUUACUGGGCGUAAAGGGCUCGUAGGUGGCCAACUAAGUCAUACGUGAAAUCCCUCGGCUUAACCGGGGAACUGCGCCUGAUACUGGUUGGCUUGAGUUUGGGAGAGGGACGCGGAAUUCCAGGUGUAGCGGUGAAAUGCGUAGAUAUCCGAAGGAACACCGGUGGCGAAAGCGGCUUACUGGGUAUUUUCUGACGCUGAUGCACGAAAGCUAGGGGAGCAAACGGG
Molecule: ribosomal RNA, 253 nt
Filed under: uncultured bacterium
Lineage: Bacteria
Description: partial 16S ribosomal RNA
Rfam family: Bacterial small subunit ribosomal RNA
Source: RNAcentral